CGUUAAUCGGGGCAGGGUGAGUCGGCCCCUAAGGCGAGGCUGAAAAGCGUAGUCGAUGGGAAACGGGUUAAUAUUCCCGUACUUGGAUAAACUGCGAUGUGGGGACGGAGCAGGUUAGGUUAUCGCACUGUUGGAUAUGUGCGUUUAAGUUUGUAGGUGUGAAGUUUAGGCAAAUCCGGACUUCUUUAACACUGAGAGAUGAUGACGAGGCUCUACGGAGCUGAAGUAACCGAUACCACACUUCCAGGAAAAGCCACUAAGCUUCAGGUUUAUCUAAACCGUACUGAAAACCGACACAGGUGGUCAGGUAGAGAAUACUCAGGCGCUUGAGAGAACUCGGGUGAAGGAACUAGGCAAAAUAGCACCGUAACUUCGGGAGAAGGUGCGCCGGCGUAGAUUGUAGUCCCUAGCGGGCGAAGGUUGAACCGGUCGAAGAUACCAGCUGGCUGCAACUGUUUAUUAAAAACACAGCACUCUGCAAACACGAAAGUGGACGUAUAGGGUGUGAUGCCUGCCCGGUGCUGGAAGAUUAAUUGAUGGGGUGCAAGCUCCUGAUCGAAGUCCCAGUAAACGGCGGCCGUAACUAUAACGGUCCUAAGGUAGCGAAAUUCCUUGUCGGGUAAGUUCCGACCUGCACGAAUGGCAUAACGAUGGCCACACUGUCUCCUCCUGAGACUCAGUGAAGUUGAAGUGUUUGUGAUGAUGCAAUCUCCCCGCGGCUAGACGGAAAGACCCCAUGAACCUUUACUGUAGCUUUGCAUUGGACUUUGAACCGAUCUGUGUAGGAUAGGCGGGAGGCUGAGAAGCGGUGACGCUAGUCAUCGUGGAGCCGUCCUUGAAAUACCGCCCUGAUUUGUUUGAGGUUCUAACCUAGGUCAGUGAUCCUGAUCGGGGACCGUGCAUGGUAGGCAGUUUGACUGGGGCGGUCUCCUCCUAAAGGGUAACGGAGGAGUGCGAAGGUACGCUAGGUACGGUCGGAAAUCGUGCUGAUAGUGCAAAGGCA
RNAcentral lists this ribosomal RNA (1003 nucleotides) under human gut metagenome. Its description in RNAcentral is "bacterial LSU rRNA". It matches the Rfam family "Bacterial large subunit ribosomal RNA", at positions 1363 to 2359 of the family's 2925-position model. The record is from RNAcentral.